UUCUUUUGCUUCAAUUCCCAGUAAGGUAUGGAUAUAAUUUUUCUAUUUCUAUAGUUUUGAAUCCAAAGCACAGAGCAGGACAUAAAGAACAACCCUUCCAAUAUUCAGCUCCCACUGAAGUGUCUUAGGGUGAAGACAGGGGUACCAUCUAUGAUCCCAAACCAAGAGCAGGUCAUCACCUCUCUGAAUUAGGUGCUGGAGGCCAGCAAGGAACACUCACAGAUCUAAGACACCACAAGGAUAUCUUUGAGCAAUAAAAUCCUUUUAAAAAAAUGUUUAUUCACUUUAUCUGUGGAUACAAGGAGUUUCUUUGGUCAACUCUGCAGUAGGUUUUGGAAUCUGUUUCUGGUUUGUCAGUGUUAUGCUCAAAUCACCAAGCAGUCUCCAAGGUUCAUCUUGAUAGAGCAGUUUCUGGAAUACUCUGGCAAUUAAAAUCAGAGAAGCAGUCAAGAAGGAUGGAAAUAUUUUCCAGUGUUGACUAAAAGCAAGCAGUAAGCUUGAAGCAUUACUUAACAAUGUAAUGAGAAACGUCAGCUCAAGCAAAUACUUAUUUUUUUUAACAGAAUUUGUUUUCUUUGUUGUGUUGCAGAAGAAGGAGCAGUGGCUGAGUUGCACGAGUGAACCAGGACAACGCAAAAUAAAGUCAAAAAGGAACGCUCAUUUUCCUAUUUCCUUGUGGUGACAUCUUCUGGAUGCUGAGCACUGGGAAAAUUUCACCUGUUCUUUGAGCAGUUGAUUGAAAGUUGAAUUUUUCUGUGGUAUGGUCCACAGUCAGUGUUGUUGGAACAAGACAAACCAGUCCAAAUUUGCUGUCGCCCAGUCUUGUUGUCUCAACUGUCACAAAAUAUUUGCUUUUCAAAGGGCUUUAAAAACAUAACGAUGCAAAUUUGACCUGUAUUUAUACCAGCGUGUUUGGAGGAAGCCCAUCAAACGAUUUCCAUGCUGUUUUCAGUGUCUCUCCACUUUAUUAUUCUGAGAAAAUUUGACACAUCUGCAGCGUGCACGAUCUGGUUUCCUGAUAUGCAGAUGCGCAGCCUCGCCUAUCUCGUGGAAUCAGUGUAGCAGCCGCUCUUACAAACGCUGUGACAAUGUACAGCCUCCUAUCUGAGAUCCAGAUCAGCCUGAAGUCG
Molecule: long non-coding RNA, 1130 nt
Filed under: Lonchura striata (white-rumped munia)
Lineage: Eukaryota; Metazoa; Chordata; Aves; Passeriformes; Estrildidae
Description: domestica (Bengalese finch) lncRNA (ENSLSDG00000003488.1)
Source: RNAcentral